ACCUGCCUUAUACUGGGGGAUAACAUUCUGAAAAGGAUGCUAAUACCGCAUAAGCGCACAGUGUCGCAUGACACAGUGUGAAAAACUCCGGUGGUAUAAGAUGGACCCGCGUCUGAUUAGCUAGUUGGUGAGAUAAUAGCUCACCAAGGCAACGAUCAGUAGCCGACCUGAGAGGGUGAUCGGCCACAUUGGGACUGAGACACGGCCCAAACUCCUACGGGAGGCAGCAGUGGGGAAUAUUGCACAAUGGGGGAAACCCUGAUGCAGCGACGCCGCGUGAAGGAUGAAGGUUUUCGGAUCGUAAACUUCUAUCAGCAGGGAAGAAAAUGACUGUACCUGACUAAGAAGCCCCGGCUAACUACGUGCCAGCAGCCGCGGUAAUACGUAGGGGGCAAGCGUUAUCCGGAAUUACUGGGUGUAAAGGGUGCGUAGGCGGUUUGCUAAGUUAGGUGUGAAAGCCCGGGGCUCAACCUCGGGACUGCACUUAAAACUGGCAAACUAGAAUACAGGAGAGGUAAGUGGAAUUCCUAGUGUAGCGGUGAAAUGCGUAGAUAUUAGGAGGAACACCAGUGGCGAAGGCGACUUACUGGACUGUUAUUGACGCUGAGGCACGAAAGCGUGGGGAGCGAACAGGAUUAGAUACCCUGGUAGUCCACGCCGUAAACGAU
Molecule: ribosomal RNA, 668 nt
Filed under: uncultured bacterium
Lineage: Bacteria
Description: bacterial SSU rRNA
Rfam family: Bacterial small subunit ribosomal RNA
Source: RNAcentral